GGCCCUCGGUAAAUCCGAUUGACAGUCCAGCGCGCAAACUGCACGACCUGGCAGUCAGGAUCGUUAUCUGGCACAUACAACUCAAUUUACUUCUAUUGGCUGGAAAUAUUUAAAGCAUGACAGUGGCGUAGGUAAAUUACCAAAUAGUGGAUCUUAUGUUGGAUUGAUCAGCCCUGAUGAACUGACCUGACCAUUGUAAUUGAAACCAUAACUCAUGACCACUCUAUCUGUAUAGGUCCUGGUAUACCCUGGGAUGAUGUUCACCCACAACUUUUAACUUGAAAUCUUAAAGGAAGUUUUGCUAAACUAACAAGCAUGAAUGUCUGGUACAGUAAGAUAGGGUUAAUGGUCAACCUGACAUUAUGGUUCAUUCAUUGGGACAGCUAAUGUUUGUGUCUGACCAAGCAGUUCUCAAGUUAGGGCUUGAUGAAGUCUACAAACUGACCAUUAUAUCUACUGGACAAAAAGGAUCAUAUUCUGACCCCCUCCCUCCCAACCAUUUCCUCUGCCUUAUCUUGAUGACUUUGAAGGGUACAAAUGCACUUGGAGCUUUUGAUGGUGUUCUGUUCAAUGCAACAAUUCCCACAUCUCCAGCAGCUGGCUUUGCAGCUAUUGGCGCAGACAGCUAUGGCUUGGAUAAUUUUGCCAUGUUGCAGUUAAUUCCUUGCCACUCUGGUACUGUGUGUGAUACAGAACCACCUUCACAUUUAUUUUUCUAAUUAGACAUUAAGCUUUCCAUGUGCUGAAAUUUAGCAUUGUAGAACGGGAAAUAAAUUGUCUAUGACAGUUCAAAGGGGUGCCCCUGUAAGCACUAUAAAGAUUAACUCGGGCACCUUUUUGCCAUAGAGGAAAGUAGGUUGUAAUAGGGUUUAUGAAAACACUGCACUCAUCUUUUAUCUUCAGCAUCAUUAUUAUUAUUAAACCAUUACUCAAAUUUUGCUUUGUUAUUUUGCCAUGUAGAGAUUUACUGCUGCUGGGGUGAACAAUGCUUAAAAAAAUACAAAUAUGCUGUGUUUUUACUUUGGCCCAGCGGUGGCUCACACAUUUAUGUCUUUUGUAUUUUUCUAUACCAGUUCUGUUACUGUGCAAAUGCAAAAAAAAAAAAAAAAAUACAAGUUGUUGCACUAUUGAUAUUUUUUAUACUAAUUUUUUAUUUAUAUUAUUAAUUAUUUAUUAUUAUCUAAGCAUCUGUUUGUAUUUGAGCUGGGUAAUGAAUAUAGAUUCUUAAAUUUAAUUGUUGUUUGUUGCUUUACUCACUUUUAAACUGUGACCAUGUAAAUUUUGUCUAGAUGGAGAAUGGUAAUGUCUUAGUGUUAAUGAUUAGAUUGAGAAUGUUAAUGUCUUAGUGUCAAUGAUAACAGUGAGAAUGGUAAUGUCUUAGUGUCAAUGAUAACAGUGAGAAUGGUAAUGUCUUAGUGUCAAUGAUAACAGUGAGAAUGGUAAUGUCUUAGUGUUAUUGAUUAGAUUGAUAAUGGUAAUGUCUUAGUGUCAAUGAUUACAUUGAGAAUAGUAAUGUCUUAGUGCCAAUGAUAACACUGAGACAAUCAUUAGAUUGAGGAUGGUAAUGUCUUAGUGUCAAUGGUGUAACACUAUGAUUAGAGUGAGAUGCACGAGAUGAUUUCAGUUGACGUGAAAAUGGGUCUUACACAUUGUCGAGCAAAGAGGUACCAUUUUUGAUCACAUGACCACGUUUUUUUAGUAAGUUAGCGCCAUAAUGUAUCAAGAGACGUAGGUGUCUCUGUUUUAUGAAAUUGGAUUAAAUAAUAUGAGUACCUAAUUGGAGCUUUUUCUAUGGAUGUAGUUUGUAUUUGAUGUGAAAUAAUUCGUGAUGAUAUUUUAUGGCUGAGAUUGCCUACUUUAUGAACUAUUAUUUGAUGUAAUAAAUAUUUGUCUGCCA
Long non-coding RNA from Biomphalaria glabrata, 1897 nucleotides. RefSeq lists it as uncharacterized. The record is from RefSeq and is a predicted model, not a curated record. The transcript is spliced from 6 exons. Lineage: Eukaryota; Metazoa; Mollusca; Gastropoda; Planorbidae.